CUGAGCUGAAGGUCAUUACGUUUCUGGGACACAGCAGACAUGACCUCUGUUUCCUUUAAGAAAAACAUAGUGUGUAGUUCUUAUGUAUUUUGGAGGACAGGAGGAAGAAACAAUAUUUAACUGCUGAAGAAGAGCACUAGCCUUUCUUUUAUUUAGCUGAAUGGAGAAUUCUGAGAGGGACAAACAUUGUACGAAAUAGUGAAUAAGGUGGACUUGACAAUGGGGCUAGAAAGGUCACAGCGCCAGAAAUUAGCUGGGAAAGAAUAUGCAUUGGGAUACCUGACUCAACCUUUCCUGUUUCUCCUCAAACCGUAAUGAGAACCAAAUGAGGCGCAGCUUCCUCCAAAAGGCUGCGUCAAUGGCACAGAUGAGGGUUCGGAAGCAUGGAAUUACCCUCAGCGGUUGGAUGGUUGAAAGUGUGGUGAAAAACCCUAGGGUUCAUGACUUCAGGACUUGUACUGGGGCAGGGAUGGAUUAAUGUAAAUUGGAGGCAAUGGAAAUCACUGCAAUGGAGAGGGAGGAUGCCUGAAGCCACCGAAAGUCCUGAAGGCCCGUGAAGGGGUCUUUACACCAAGCGACAAGUUUGGGCUUUGUGUUGAGGGAGAGAGUGGUAAAUGCUAUGCUCCUGUCCUCUUCUCUGAUUAUGGAACGGGAUGAAUAGGGGCAUGGUCCCCUGUUUGCAUGUACUAAUUGUGUCCUGUAAAAGCGAACUAAAUAUGACCUGAGAGGGACUCCAUACUUCUAUUAUCUGAGUCCUUGUGGACAAACUGUAACCUAACUUAAUACGUAGAUAAGGUUGAAAACUUCAGUUGGGAGUGUGUGCCAGUAACAGUGGCUGGGGCUUGGCCAAUCCCAGCAGCCAUACAUCGACCACUCAUACACUGCCGAGUGUUCAAACUGUGUUCAAAUAAGGCAAAUGCUGAGCUGUAACCAAUCUAGUAGUUUCUGUACCUCACUUCUGAUUUCUGUAUGUCACUUCCCUUUUUUUUUUGCCCAUCAUUCUUCUUCCACUAUGUGGCUGUGCUGGAGCCUCUGUGAAUCUGCUGUGAUUCCGGGGGCUGCCCCAUUCGCGAAUCGUUCAUUGUUCAAUUAAACUCCUUUAAAUUUAAUUUGGCUGAAGUUUUUCUUUUAACAGUCCUUUCCAAGGGGACGCCACCUUCUUUCAGCAGGUCAACAAUUUUCAAGAUGCUAGGCCAUGGGGAAAUGUAUGAGGUUUGCCUGUGCCUUCCUGAGAGUCUACUAGACUGAGUUGGUGAUCUUCCUCUUUCACUGCUAUGGUCUGAGUGUUUAUGUUCCCCUAAAAUUCGUAUGUUGAAGCCCUAAUGCGCA
RNAcentral lists this long non-coding RNA (1329 nucleotides) under Homo sapiens (human). RNAcentral describes it as "HSALNT0070497". The record is from RNAcentral. Lineage: Eukaryota; Metazoa; Chordata; Mammalia; Primates; Hominidae.